AUUGAACGCUGGCGGCAUGCCUUACACAUGCAAAUCGAACGGUAACGGGCCUUCGGGUGCCGACGAGUGGCGAACGGGUGAGUAAUACAUCGGAACGUGCCCGAUCGUGGGGGAUAACGAGGCGAAAGCUUUGCUAAUACCGCAUACGAUCUACGGAUGAAAGCAGGGGACCGCAAGGCCUUGCGCGGACGGAGCGGCCGAUGGCAGAUUAGGUAGUUUGUGGGAUAAAAGCUUACCAAGCCGACGAUCUGUAGCUGGUCUGAGAGGAUGAUCAGCCACACUGGGACUGAGACACGGCCCAGACUCCUACGGGAGGCAGCAGUGGGGAAUUUUGGACAAUGGGCGCAAGCCUGAUCCAGCCAUGCCGCGUGCAGGAUGAAGGCCUUCGGGUUGUAAACUGAUUUUGUACGGAACGAAAAGCCUUCUUUUAAUACAGGAGGGUCAUGACGGUACCGUAAGAAUAAGCACCGGCUAACUACGUG
Molecule: ribosomal RNA, 482 nt
Filed under: uncultured bacterium
Lineage: Bacteria
Description: partial 16S ribosomal RNA
Rfam family: Bacterial small subunit ribosomal RNA
Source: RNAcentral